UUCCACAGCUUUCUUGAACUGCAUCUCUAAGAGGAGCAGCUCGAAGCCUCGAACUCUACCUGCAUGAGCAGGUGCAGUUCAAUAAAGCUGUGGGA
Molecule: microRNA precursor, 95 nt
Filed under: Saccharum sp.
Lineage: Eukaryota; Viridiplantae; Streptophyta; Magnoliopsida; Poales; Poaceae
Description: miR396 stem-loop (ssp-MIR396)
Gene: ssp-MIR396
Source: miRBase by way of RNAcentral